GCAAAUAAAUACAUGAAAAUAAGGUAAGAGGUGGAAACACUUGUACUUCAAGAAAAUGUUAAGAGGAAGACAUUUUAACUACAUCCAUAUUUGAGCCAUUAAGCCAAACUCUUCGGAACAUUCCAAGAUGAAAGUAACCUAUGAAUCCUGCCAUUAAUUUUAGGUUGUUUUCACUUCCAUCUGUGUGAAAUGUUUGUUUUGUGUGAAGUAGUUAUCUACUUAUAUUAGUUGUUUUGCAUGGAAUACUGCUCAACUUGUUCUGGUUGUUUUGCGUGAAGUGAUGUUUCACUUAUUGUAGUUCUUCUGCGUGAAGUAAUGUGUCACUUAUUGUAGUUCUUCUGCGAGAAGUAAUGCUUCACUUAUUCUAGUUGUUUUCGUUAUUUUAUAUAUGACACUACAUUGUAAAACAACUCUUAAGAGAAUAAAUUAUAAUCAAAAUCAACUAUCUACAGUAAUCAUAAAACAAAAGAAGAGAGAUGUGCUUAAAAAGUCACUUCCAACCAACAUGACCAUGUCUUGUUAAACUCAUGCAUAGGGGAAAAAUAUUCUGAGAUGGAGAAUUGAUUUGUUAGCAAAACUUCCUUUGAGAUAUAUCUGUACUCAGUAGGGACAAUCUGCAAUACAAUAAAAAGAACACUUGGAUGAGAGAUUUCAAGAUUAAAACAACUACUUUUUAAAGGAAUAAAAGAAAAGAAAGAUAAAGGGGCAAACUAAUGUUCCAUCUUUACCAUAGAAGUAGUAUAAGUGAAUGUGUUAAAAUGCAACAUGAAAUAACCUGUUACUAUUUAACGAAACUCCAAUAAAAGUUUCCACUUGUGUUGGAAACUCUCAGAUUCAAACAAAUUUCUAAUUUACACAUUUUUCCAAUACCCAAACGUUCCAUGCAUCAAAACCCAUAAUCAAAUCUACUAAAUAUAGUUAAAAUACCCAAAAAAAUAAAAACUUCAAAAAAAAGUUCAGGUUUUGAUUUGCAUAAUCAAAUCUAUUAUAUAUAGAUAAAAUAUCCAUUAAACAAAAACUUUAAAGAAAAGUUUAGGUUUUGAUUUUCAUAAUCACAUCUACUAAAGAUAGCUAAAAUGCUUAAAAAAAUAAAAACUUCAAAGAAAGUUUGGCUUUUCAUCUAUUUUGUAAAUUUCUAACAGGAUUCUUCACCGACUGUCUCCUGAACUAUUCUUCAUCUCUUUUUGAAUCCAUUACAACUUUCAAAAAGUAGACUUUCAUCUCUUUUUUUUCUUUUCCGUUUUUUUCCCUUCUCUAAACAAAACAAGCUCACAAAAAAAAGGUUAAUUAACAGUUAUAGUAUAUGCAUGCAAAUAGAGCGACCAGAAGACAUGGAAGAGUAGACGACUUGUUGAGAAGGCUGGACGAUUUGAUUAAGAAAGAAAUUUUUGAAUGUCCCAUACAGGGAAAAAGAUAAGAAAAAAAGAACCUAUACAAGAAGAAAAAGAAAUGAGUCUGAGCAUAAGAAAGAAAAACACAACACCUAAAGCAAAGAAAAUUACAGUGUUAAAGACUUGAGCAUGCUGUCUCAUAAAGGAAAAAAGAUAAAAAGAAAAGACUUUAUACAAG
RNAcentral lists this long non-coding RNA (1569 nucleotides) under Theobroma cacao (cacao). RNAcentral's name for it is "long non-coding RNA (TCAC_LNC000217)". Lineage: Eukaryota; Viridiplantae; Streptophyta; Magnoliopsida; Malvales; Malvaceae. The record is from RNAcentral.